CCAGACUCCUACGGGAGGCAGCAGUGGGGAAUAUUGGGCAAUGGGCGCAAGCCUGACCCAGCAACGCCGCGUGAAGGAAGAAGGCUUUCGGGUUGUAAACUUCUUUUGUCAGGGACGAAGCAAGUGACGGUACCUGACGAAUAAGCCACGGCUAACUACGUGCCAGCAGCCGCGGUAAUACGUAGGUGGCAAGCGUUAUCCGGAUUUACUGGGUGUAAAGGGCGUGUAGGCGGGACUGCAAGUCAGAUGUGAAAACCACGGGCUCAACCUGUGGCCUGCAUUUGAAACUGUAGUUCUUGAGUACUGGAGAGGCAGACGGAAUUCCUAGUGUAGCGGUGAAAUGCGUAGAUAUUAGGAGGAACACCAGUGGCGAAGGCGGUCUGCUGGACAGCAACUGACGCUGGGGAGCGAAAGCGUGGGGAGCAAACAGGAUUAGAUACCCUAGUA
This 447-nucleotide ribosomal RNA is filed under the name uncultured bacterium. Its description in RNAcentral is "bacterial SSU rRNA". It matches the Rfam family "Bacterial small subunit ribosomal RNA", at positions 331 to 792 of the family's 1533-position model. The record is from RNAcentral.